GACGAACGCUGGCGGCGUGCUUAACACAUGCAAGUCGAACGGAGAGGCCCUGCUUUUGUGGGGUGCUCGAGUGGCGAACGGGUGAGUAACACGUGAGUAACCUGCCCUUGACUUUGGGAUAACUUCAGGAAACUGGGGCUAAUACCGGAUAGGAGCUCCUGCUGCAUGGUGGGGGUUGGAAAGUUUCGGCGGUUGGGGAUGGACUCGCGGCUUAUCAGCUUGUUGGUGGGGUAGUGGCUUACCAAGGCUUUGACGGGUAGCCGGCCUGCGAGGGUGACCAGCCACAUUGGGACUGAGAUACGGCCCAGACUCCUACGGGGGGCAGCAGUGGGGAAUAUUGCACAAUGGGCGGAAGCCUGAUGCAGCAACGCCGCGUGCGGGAUGACGGCCUUCGGGUUGUAAACCGCUUUCGCCUGUGACGAAGCGUGAGUGACGGUAAUGGGUAAAGAAGCACCGGCUAACUACGUG
This 468-nucleotide ribosomal RNA is filed under the name uncultured bacterium. RNAcentral's name for it is "partial 16S ribosomal RNA". It matches the Rfam family "Bacterial small subunit ribosomal RNA", at positions 28 to 507 of the family's 1533-position model. The record is from RNAcentral.